This 456-nucleotide ribosomal RNA is filed under the name uncultured bacterium. RNAcentral's name for it is "bacterial SSU rRNA". It matches the Rfam family "Bacterial small subunit ribosomal RNA", at positions 340 to 786 of the family's 1533-position model. The record is from RNAcentral.
UACGGGAGGCAGCAGUGGGGAAUAUUGCACAAUGGGCGAAAGCCUGAUGCAGCUAUGCCGCGUGUAUGAAGAAGGCCUUAGGGUUGUAAAGUACUUUCAUCGGGGAGGAAAAAACAAAACUAAUAAUUUUAUUUCUUGACGUUACCCGAAAAAGAAGCACCGGCUAACUCCGUGCCAGCAGCCGCGGUAAUACGGAGGGUGCUAGCGUUAAUCAGAAUUACUGGGCGUAAAGAGCACGUAGGUGGUUUUUUUAAGUCAGAUGUGAAAUCCCUGGGCUUAACCUAGGAACUGCAUUUUGAAACUGAAAUACUAGAGUAUCGUAGAGGGAGGUAGAAUUCUAGGUGUAGCGGUGAAAUGCGUAGAUAUCUGGAGAAAUACCUGUGGCGAAAGCGGCCUCCUAAACGAAUACUGACACUGAGGUGCGAAAGCGUGGGGAGCAAACAGGGAUUAGAUACC